CCUACGGGCGGCAGCAGUAGGGAAUCUUCCACAAUGGGCGCAAGCCUGAUGGAGCAACACCGCGUGAGUGAAGAAGGGUUUCGGCUCGUAAAGCUCUGUUGUUGGAGAAGAACGUUCGUGAGAGUAACUGUUCACGCAGUGACGGUAUACAUCCAGAAAGUCACGGCUAACUCCGUGCCAGCAGCCGCGGUAAUACGUAGGUGGCAAGCUCUAUCCGGUUUUUUUUGGCGUAAGGCGAGCGCAGGCGGUUGCUUAGGUCUGAUGUGAAAGCCUUCGGCUUAACCGAAGAAGGGCAUCGGAAACCGGGCGACUUGAGUGCAGAAGAGGAGAGUGGAACGCAAGGUGUAGCGGUGGAAUGCGUAGAUAUAUGGAAGAACACCAGUGGCGAAGGCAGCUGUCUGGUCUGCAACUGACGCUGAGGCUCGAAAGCAUGGGGAGCGAACAGGAUUAGAUACCCGGGUAGUC
This 465-nucleotide ribosomal RNA is filed under the name uncultured bacterium. RNAcentral describes it as "partial 16S ribosomal RNA". It matches the Rfam family "Bacterial small subunit ribosomal RNA", at positions 338 to 795 of the family's 1533-position model. The record is from RNAcentral.